GUAAAACGCGGUAACGCCGAUGGUAGUGUGGGGUUUCCCCAUGUGAGAGUAGGGCACUGUUAAUCUACUAAAUUUGCGGAGCGGUAGUUCAGCUGGUUAGAAUACCUGCCUGU
Molecule: ribosomal RNA, 113 nt
Filed under: Actinobacillus pleuropneumoniae serovar 5b str. L20
Lineage: Bacteria; Pseudomonadati; Pseudomonadota; Gammaproteobacteria; Pasteurellales; Pasteurellaceae
Source: RNAcentral